This 497-nucleotide ribosomal RNA is filed under the name uncultured bacterium. RNAcentral's name for it is "partial 16S ribosomal RNA". It matches the Rfam family "Bacterial small subunit ribosomal RNA", at positions 28 to 507 of the family's 1533-position model. The record is from RNAcentral.
GAUGAACGCUGGCGGCGUGCCUAAUACAUGCAAGUCGAGCGAACAGACGAGGAGCUUGCUCCUCUGACGUUAGCGGCGGACGGGCGAGUAACACGUGGAUAACCUACCUAUAAUACUGGGAUAACUUCGUGAAACCGGUGCUAAUAACAGCGAAUAUAUUGUACCGCAUGGUUCAAUAGUUAAACACGGUUUUGCUGUUACUUAUAGAUGGAUCCGCGCCGCAUUAGCUAGUUGGUAAGGUAACGGCUUACCAAGGCAACGAUGCGUAGCUGACCUGAGAGGGUGAUCGGCCACACUGGAACUGAGACACGGUCCAGACUCCUACGGGAGGCAGCAGUGGGGAAUCUUGCGCAAUGGGCGAAAGCCUGAUGGAGCAACGCCGCGUGAGUGAUGAAGGUCUUCGGAUCGUAAAACUCUGUUGUUGGGGAAGAACAAAUGUGGAAGUAACCAUGCACGUCUUGACGGUACCUAAACAGAAAGCCACGGCUAACUACGUG